RNAcentral lists this ribosomal RNA (530 nucleotides) under Bacillus sp. E14-BR. RNAcentral describes it as "bacterial SSU rRNA". It matches the Rfam family "Bacterial small subunit ribosomal RNA", at positions 716 to 1266 of the family's 1533-position model. The record is from RNAcentral. Lineage: Bacteria; Bacillati; Bacillota; Bacilli; Caryophanales; Bacillaceae.
AGAAMCCAGUGCGAGGCACUUCUGUCGUACUACACUAGCGGAAGCGUGGAGCAACAGAAUAGAUACCUGUAGUCACGCGUAACGAUAGUGCUAGUGUAGAGGUUUCCGCCCUUAGUGCUGAGUUAACGCAUUAGCACUCCGCCUGGGAGUACGGCCGCAGGCUGAACUCAAAGGAAUUGACGGGGCCCGCACAAGCGGUGGAGCAUGUGGUUUAAUUCGAAGCAACGCGAAGAACCUUACCAGGUCUUGACAUCCUCUGAAAACCCUAGAGAUAGGGCUUCUCCUUCGGGAGCAGAGUGACAGGUGGUGCAUGGUUGUCGUCAGCUCGUGUCGUGAGAUGUUGGGUUAAGUCCCGCAACGAGCGCAACCCUUGAUCUUAGUUGCCAUCAUUAAGUUGGGCACUCUAAGGUGACUGCCGGUGACAAACCGGAGGAAGGUGGGGAUGACGUCAAAUCAUCAUGCCCCUUAUGACCUGGGCUACACACGUGCUACAAUGGACGGUACAAAGAGCUGCAAGACCGCGAGGUGGA